RNAcentral lists this ribosomal RNA (253 nucleotides) under uncultured bacterium. RNAcentral's name for it is "partial 16S ribosomal RNA". It matches the Rfam family "Bacterial small subunit ribosomal RNA", at positions 524 to 776 of the family's 1533-position model. The record is from RNAcentral.
GACAGAGGGGGCAAGCGUUGCUCGGAAUCACUGGGCGUAAAGGGCGCGUAGGCGGGCUGGCAAGUCGGUCGUGAAAUCCUUCGGCUCAACCGAAGAACGUCGGCCGAUACUGCCGUUCUUGAGGGAUGCAGAGGAGAUUGGAAUUCCCGGUGUAGCGGUGAAAUGUGUAGAGAUCGGGAGGAACACCGGUGGCGAAGGCGGGUCUCUGGGCAUCUCCUGACGCUGAGGCGCGAAAGCUAGGGGAGCAAACGGG